Molecule: long non-coding RNA, 1356 nt
Organism: Syzygium oleosum
Lineage: Eukaryota; Viridiplantae; Streptophyta; Magnoliopsida; Myrtales; Myrtaceae
Exons: 2
Source: RefSeq, a predicted model, not a curated record
UGGCCCGCCCCCCAUUCCAGCACGUGCUGGGGAUGGUUAGACAGCCGGGGGCCUCCAACUAUCCUUCCCCAACUGAUCUAACCGACUGGGGAGUCGGUUAGUGCCCGGAACGGCCUCGGGAAGGUGGAGAAAAACAGAAAAAAAGUUGAGUUCGUGCACACAACGCGUUCGAGAAAAUUCCCAAGAGGGAGAAAGAGGAGCUAGAGAGAAAACAAGAGAGAGACAGUGAAAGGGAGAGGGUAGAAGUCCUGCAAUCGAGUGUUCGGCGCCGCCCUAACCGGAGGAGCGCCGGUGAAUUGGCUGUUGACCGUGACUUCCCCUCCAAGUUCCAAUGAGGAGGCUGAUCGUGAACGGGUGAAAAGUAGCCUAGAUUACCCAAUCUAGGACUUUCUCAACAAAUCCAAGAUUGUGAGCUGGUAGAAAAAGUGCCAAGGGACGAGAUCAUCACUUGUUCGUGGUUCAGAAAUUCAAUUUUGCUCCCCAACGACGAAGGUAAAAACGCUUCCCACAUGCACAUUACUUGUUUGUCAAAAUGCCGAAGGGACUUUCAGAGUUGAUUCGUUUGUGAUUUUUAAACUUGUUCGGUUUUAUGAUGCUUAUUAGUUCCUCCUUUGUGUCUCUAAUCCAUUUCUUGUUUGAUUUGUGUGUUUUGGAUCGAUGAUUUUGGAUCUGCAUUGAGUCGGCCAUCAAUGUUCCCUUGCCGGUGCCAAUAAAUCAUCGCAUUGCAUUCUCCCGUGGCAAAAGCUUAUCCAAAGAACAACAACGGUCGUGUCGCGUCGCGUCAUUCUAAUUCAAUUCGGGGCUCACCGUGCAACUGCGGGUCCGGCUAUUGCUGUUCAAAGCUGGCCUUACAUAGAAAAGAACAAACAAGGAGACGAAGAGAUGUACACAUCGGAUGCCACAAAGGAGUUGAUUUCACAAAGACAACACCUUCAUUUGGGACACGAUGAAGAGGGACUUUUGCCCCGAAAUGAGGUGACAGAAGACAUAUUUCCCCUAGGGGAAAUGGAACAUUGUCACAUACAUACAUACGGAUCUCACAAUAAUUCAUGUGAAAUUAUUGUCUAUGCCUAAAACUUAUGUCGGGUCACUAUAUUGAGGACCAUAAUGCCAACGAUUUUUAUUAUUGGGCGAAAUCGUAAACGCUGAGUACUUCACCUAUGCCCUUGCCCAAAAAAAGGGGAUAAAAUAUCACAUUAUUUACUCUUACACUCAGUCAUUCACUCGAAUUCCUUGUAAUUUCUGCUGCACCUAUAGUUAGUAAUUUAUUUUUAUUGGGUCACAAUUUAUCUAUAAGGUCUGUAAAACGAAACUUCUAGCACUUACUUUAGUUAUUAUCGAAUAGUAGAGUAAAUU